GGCUGUGUAACGGGAGUCACGUCCUUUAUCUCACAGAAGCCGAAAGUAGAUCAGCCUAGCAUGACAUUUUACUCCUGAAAAAAAAAGGACACUGUUGACAAAGGUCCUUCUGUCACAGUUUAAAUAGAUGGAGAAACUGAGGCAUAUAGAGGUGAAAGACCUGCCAAGAACCACACAAAAUUGAUCAAGUGACAAAUUGGAGUUACAGCUGCGGACACCAAACCCUGGGAGGAGCGUCAGCAAUUGCCUGACGCUCCUCCCAGAACACUCCGUUCUCAUGGUCUCAUCACAGCCGUGGCUUUGGGCUUCAG
RNAcentral lists this long non-coding RNA (311 nucleotides) under Cricetulus griseus (Chinese hamster). Its description in RNAcentral is "lncRNA (ENSCGRG00015029903.1)". Lineage: Eukaryota; Metazoa; Chordata; Mammalia; Rodentia; Cricetidae. The record is from RNAcentral.